UCUAGGGGAGAACCCAAAAUUGCCGAGAUAGGUUGUCUCACUAUUAUUGGGCUCCGCCCAAUUUCUAUUAUUGGGCCUCCAACAAAUUAGCCCUUAACGAACACAUUUGGUCAUCAUCACUUUGUACCUCCUCUUGCUGCCCUCUUUGCAGAAAAGAGAGCUUCUUUACAAGCAUCAGUUGCUGCUGUCCCUAAUAGAAAUUCACUGUAAGGAUUUCAAUAACCUAGCGUUGUUUCUUGACUUUGUACACAUUUUGUACUGUAACAUACGUUCUCACAUCCUAUAUCUAAGCUUCUGCUAGACUGUUUCACUUAUGCACUUUCUGCCGUGUUUAUUGUUUACAAAUUUCUUUGAGGAAAUUAUUGUUGUCUCUGAUUAAUUCUUGCCGUUGCUGGGCACUAGGCUUUGGUCUUGUAUUCAUGUUUUAAAUAAAAUCUAGCACUUGGUUUUAUAUGUGGUAAAUAUAUUUUUGUUAGGGUGUUGUUUCAACGAAUAAAUUGAACAUGCAUUGAAAUAUCUAGGGUUUAUUGUUAGGGUUUUGUUUCAACAGGAUUGUCCUAGUAUAUAUGGUCUCAGUGUUAUCAAUUGGCAUAUUUAGCUGGUUAUAGUGUCUAGAAGCGAGGCUGAGGUGCUUCAGGCAUGUACGGAGGAGAAGUCCUGAUGCCCCGGCGAGUAGUUGUGAGCGGCUGGCGAUGGCGGCGUACGGCGAGGCAGAGGGAGG
Molecule: long non-coding RNA, 721 nt
Filed under: Nicotiana benthamiana
Lineage: Eukaryota; Viridiplantae; Streptophyta; Magnoliopsida; Solanales; Solanaceae
Description: long non-coding RNA (NBEN_LNC002519)
Source: RNAcentral